Molecule: ribosomal RNA, 467 nt
Filed under: uncultured bacterium
Lineage: Bacteria
Description: partial 16S ribosomal RNA
Rfam family: Bacterial small subunit ribosomal RNA
Source: RNAcentral
GACGAACGCUGGCGGCGUGCUUAACACAUGCAAGUCGAACGGAAAGGCCUCUUUCGGGGGGUACUCGAGUGGCGAACGGGUGAGUAACACGUGAGUAACCUGCCCUUGACUUUGGGAUAACUUCAGGAAACUGGGGCUAAUACCGGAUAGGAGCUCCUGCUGCAUGGUGGGGGUUGGAAAGUUUCGGCGGUUGGGGAUGGACUCGCGGCUUAUCAGCUUGUUGGUGGGGUAGUGGCUUACCAAGGCUUUGACGGGUAGCCGGCCUGAGAGGGUGACCGGCCACAUUGGGACUGAGAUACGGCCCAGACUCCUACGGGAGGCAGCAGUGGGGAAUAUUGCACAAGGGGUGGAAGCCUGAUGCAGCAACGCCGUGUGCGGGAGGACGGCCUUCGGGUUGGAAACCGCUUUCGCUCAUGACGAAGCUUUGUGUGACGGUAGUGGGUAAAGAAGCACCGGCUAACUACGUG